GAUGAACGCUGGCGGCGUGCCUAAUACAUGCAAGUCGAGCGAACGGACGAGAAGCUUGCUUCUCUGAUGUUAGCGGCGGACGGGUGAGUAACACGUGGAUAACCUACCUAUAAGACUGGGAUAACUUCGGGAAACCGGAGCUACUACUGGAUAAUAUUUUGAACCGCAUGGUUCAAAAGUGAAAGACGGUCUUGCUGUCACUUAUAGAUGGAUUCGCGCUGCAUUAGCUAGUUGGUAAGGUAACGGCUUACCAAGGCAACGAUGCAUAGCCGACCUGAGAGGGUGAUCGGCCACACUGGAACUGAGACACGGUCCAGACUCCUACGGGAGGCAGCAGUAGGGAAUCUUCCGCAAUGGGCGAAAGCCUGACGGAGCAACGCCGCGUGAGUGAUGAAGGUCUUCGGAUCGUAAAACUCUGUUAUUAGGGAAGAACAGAUGUGUAAGUAACUGUGCACAUCUUGACGGUACCUAAACAGAAAGCCACGGCUAACUUCGUG
Molecule: ribosomal RNA, 497 nt
Filed under: uncultured bacterium
Lineage: Bacteria
Description: partial 16S ribosomal RNA
Rfam family: Bacterial small subunit ribosomal RNA
Source: RNAcentral